GAAAUUAAUUGAACUGUCUUGUAAUCCAACUUGGAAAGAAUUGUAUUGAUAAGGCAGGACAGCCAGGGAGGACAAAAAGACAUCAAGGACAGUUGAAUGUCUACUUAGAACCCUUGCAAGAGUGCUGCCUCAAGACAUUAAACACAAACCAUCAGAAACCCACCCAUGAGAAACUUCAACCACUGCAGCAAUGGGGACUACAAAGACAAGGCACCCCUCACAGGUGAAGCGCCAUACCAUAGGCAUCGGUGGGACUGCCAAUGGGCCAGGGAAGAGCUAGGCUGAGGCAUGUGGAAUGGACAAGCACCUUUGUGAUGGCAAACAGGUAGCCACUGAACAUACAAAAAGGCAAGAAUGUACCUAACUCUUCGUGGCAAAGUGGGGCCUUCCCCAGCAGCAACCAGUAGAAAAGCAGCUGUUCCUCUGUGGGGCUGCCACUUUUUCUUUCUUUUUUCUUUUACAGCAGAGCUCCUAUGCCCUUCUAGAGUACAUGGGAUAGCAAGGUAACAGGAACAGGAGUUCUACUCAUCAUGGACACCAUGCUGGGGAAAGCUACAAUCUGUCACUUCUCUUUUUGUCAUUUAGUUUCCAGGCACAGGGACCCUGUUAGAACAGAAGUCUGGCAACCCUUUUCCACUUUGAUGUUUUUAGAACUCAUUCCACUGUUGAUACUGUUCAAUAAAAGUUGUGACUAUUUCAA
Long non-coding RNA from Hemicordylus capensis (graceful crag lizard), 700 nucleotides. RefSeq lists it as uncharacterized. The transcript has 4 exons. NCBI's taxonomy places the organism in Eukaryota, Metazoa, Chordata, Lepidosauria, Squamata, Cordylidae. The record is from RefSeq and is a predicted model, not a curated record.